AUCCUGGCUCAGAACGAACGCUGGUGGCGUGUUUUAUACAUGCAAGUCGAGCGAGGCCAAGUAGCAAUACUUGAGUCGAGCGGCGAACGGGUGAGUAACACGUGAGUAACCUGCCCUAUAAUCGGGGACAACCUUUCCAACGGAAGGCUAAUACCGGAUAUUGUAUUCUACCGCAUGGUAGGAUAACCAAAGGCUAUAUGCCGUUAUAGGAUGGACUCGCGCCUGAUUAGCUUGUUGGUGAGGUAAUGGCUCACCAAGGCGAUGAUCAGUAGCCGGCCUGAGAGGGUGAUCGGCCACAUUGGGACUGAGAUACGGCCCAGACUCCUACGGGAGGCAGCAGUAGGGAAUCCUGCGCAAUGGGGAAACCCUGACGCAGCAACGCCACGUGUGGGAUGACGCAUUUCGGUGUGUAAACCACUGUCGACAGGGAAUAAUGAUAGGCUAUAUGCUUAUUUGAAUGUACCUGUAAAGGAAGCACCGGCAAACUUCGUG
This 492-nucleotide ribosomal RNA is filed under the name uncultured bacterium. Its description in RNAcentral is "bacterial SSU rRNA". It matches the Rfam family "Bacterial small subunit ribosomal RNA", at positions 16 to 507 of the family's 1533-position model. The record is from RNAcentral.